GCUAAUGUAGCAUAGUAUGGCCUUGCAAGAGACCUAAACCCUUUUUACAGAAGUUCAAAUCUUCUCAUUAGCU
RNAcentral lists this transfer RNA (73 nucleotides) under Anomaloglossus verbeeksnyderorum. Its description in RNAcentral is "tRNA-Leu". It matches the Rfam family "tRNA". From Rfam's summary of the family: Transfer RNA (tRNA) molecules are approximately 80 nucleotides in length. Their secondary structure includes four short double-helical elements and three loops (D, anti-codon, and T loops). Lineage: Eukaryota; Metazoa; Chordata; Amphibia; Anura; Aromobatidae. The record is from RNAcentral.